AUGCUCAUUUCGGCAGCACAUAUACUAAAAUUAGAACGAUACAGAGAAGAUUAGCAUGGGCCCCUGCGCAAGGAUGACAUGCAAAUUUGUGAAGCAUUCCAUAUAACU
Nomascus leucogenys (northern white-cheeked gibbon) is the source of this 108-nucleotide small nuclear RNA. The record is from Ensembl. Lineage: Eukaryota; Metazoa; Chordata; Mammalia; Primates; Hylobatidae.